Molecule: ribosomal RNA, 448 nt
Filed under: uncultured bacterium
Lineage: Bacteria
Description: bacterial SSU rRNA
Rfam family: Bacterial small subunit ribosomal RNA
Source: RNAcentral
CGCCAGACUCCUACGGGAGGCAGCAGUGGGGAAUAUUGGACAAUGGGGGGAACCCUGAUCCAGCGACGCCGCGUGAGUGAAGAAGUAUUUCGGUAUGUAAAGCUCUAUCAGCAGGGAAGAAGAAAUGACGGUACCUGACUAAGAAGCCCCGGCUAACUACGUGCCAGCAGCCGCGGUAAUACGUAGGGGGCAAGCGUUAUCCGGAUUUACUGGGUGUAAAGGGAGCGUAGACGGUGCAGCAAGUCUGGAGUGAAAGGCAGGGGCCCAACCCCGGAACUGCUUUGGAAACUGUGCAGCUAGAGUGCGGGAGAGGUAAGCGGAAUUCCUAGUGUAGCGGUGAAAUGCGUAGAUAUUAGGAGGAACACCAGUGGCGAAGGCGGCUUGCUGGACCGUAACUGACGUUGAGGCUCGAAAGCGUGGGGAGCAAACAGGAUUAGAUACCCGAGUA